This 492-nucleotide ribosomal RNA is filed under the name uncultured bacterium. RNAcentral's name for it is "partial 16S ribosomal RNA". It matches the Rfam family "Bacterial small subunit ribosomal RNA", at positions 29 to 507 of the family's 1533-position model. The record is from RNAcentral.
AGUGAACGCUGGCGGUAGGCCUAACACAUGCAAGUCGAACGGCAGCACAGUAAGAGCUUGCUCUUACGGGUGGCGAGUGGCGGACGGGUGAGGAAUACAUCGGAAUCUACUUUUUCGUGGGGGAUAACGUAGGGAAACUUACGCUAAUACCGCAUACGACCUACGGGUGAAAGCAGGGGAUCUUCGGACCUUGCGGGAUUGAAUGAGCCGAUGUCGGAUUAGCUAGUUGGCGGGGUAAAGGCCCACCAAGGCGACGAUCCGUAGCUGGUCUGAGAGGAUGAACAGCCACACUGGAACUGAGACGCGGUCCAGACUCCUACGGGAGGCAGCAGUGGGGAAUAUUGGACAAUGGGCGCAAGCCUGAUCCAGCCAUACCGCGUGGGUGAAGAAGGCCUUCGGGUUGUAAAGCCCUUUUGUUGGGAAAGAAAAGCAGCAGGUUAAUACCACGCUGUUCUGACGGUACCCAAAGAAUAAGCACCGGCUAACUUCGUG